AGAGACAGAGAAGAGAGAAGAUUUUGCUUUAUUUAUUCAACCGCUCUCUCUCUCUCUCUCUCUCUCUCUCUCUAAAGUUUCCAAUUUUUCUAUCUUUCUUGCCUACCUUAGAAAAAAGUAUUUAAUUUGAGCUAAAAAUUCUCAUUCUUAUUAAAGCUUUUUUUGGUCUGAGAUUUGGAUCCAUUCACCAAACGAACGUACUGCGAGAGCUUCACUCUCUUUAAAACAGAUAAGAGACUUGUCCGAAGAAUAGCGUAGAAUCAAAAAAGGAUGUCAAUGCCACUGCUGCAACGUGGCACCUCAGGAGGAGGAGGAGCACGAGUUUCCGACAAUCUCAGAGACUCUCAAAUGAAGGACAAAACCACCACCACCAACGUGAGGUUUCCUUUGCUUUCCUCUUUACCAACGAACAAGGCUGAUGAUCCUUACACGCCAAGGAACAAGCAGAAGUUCAUGCUUCUGUUUCUCAAGACCACUCUGGCUCUUGUUGUCCUUCUUGCUCUCGCUGGCUCCUUCUGGUGGACCGUCUCUAUCAUCUCCACGACCUCUUCUUCUUCUUCCACUGGUCAUGUGUAUCAUCGUAACAGCUACAGGAGAUUACAGGAGCAGCUUGUUUUCUGACCUGUUGGAUAUUGGAGACAUCUUCGUAGGUCCCACUAGGUGGAAAGAGUUGAGUAUUGUGGUGUAGAGUCUGAGAGUUACGUUCCUUGCUUUAACGUUUCUGAGAGUUAUGAUCGGUUUUGUGGGUCGAGACAGGGGUGUUUGGUUCCACCACUGUGGAUUAUAAGGUUCCUCUGAGGUGGCCAACGGGUAAAGAUGUUAUCUGGUUUCGUAAUGUUAAGAUCACUGCUGAUGAAGUGUUGACUUCUGGUAGUAUUAACAAGAGGAUGAUGAUGUUGGAUGAUGAUCAAGUAUCUUUCCGCUCUGCAUCUCCUAUGUUUGAUGAGAUUGA
Molecule: long non-coding RNA, 952 nt
Organism: Raphanus sativus (radish)
Lineage: Eukaryota; Viridiplantae; Streptophyta; Magnoliopsida; Brassicales; Brassicaceae
Exons: 3
Source: RefSeq, a predicted model, not a curated record